RNAcentral lists this transfer RNA (70 nucleotides) under Epiophlebia superstes. RNAcentral's name for it is "tRNA-Ala". It matches the Rfam family "tRNA". Rfam says of the family: Transfer RNA (tRNA) molecules are approximately 80 nucleotides in length. Their secondary structure includes four short double-helical elements and three loops (D, anti-codon, and T loops). The record is from RNAcentral. Lineage: Eukaryota; Metazoa; Arthropoda; Insecta; Odonata; Epiophlebiidae.
AGGACAGUAGUUAAAUAUAACACUUGAUUUGCAUUCAAGAAGUGUUGAGUCAAUAAUUCAACCUGUCUUA